GGGGUGUUAGCUCAGCUGGUAGAGCAGUGGACUCUUAAUCCAUAGGUCCGGGGUUCGAACCCCCGACACCCCACCA
RNAcentral lists this transfer RNA (76 nucleotides) under Methylococcaceae bacterium. RNAcentral describes it as "tRNA-Lys". It matches the Rfam family "tRNA". From Rfam's summary of the family: Transfer RNA (tRNA) molecules are approximately 80 nucleotides in length. Their secondary structure includes four short double-helical elements and three loops (D, anti-codon, and T loops). Lineage: Bacteria; Pseudomonadati; Pseudomonadota; Gammaproteobacteria; Methylococcales; Methylococcaceae. The record is from RNAcentral. RNAcentral also lists the same sequence under 2 other names.